RNAcentral lists this ribosomal RNA (116 nucleotides) under uncultured eukaryote. RNAcentral's name for it is "partial small subunit ribosomal RNA". The record is from RNAcentral.
GUGGAUUGUACUAGAAGUUCGCAGRCCAACCGCAAGGRGGYAGCGACCCAAGGUAUGAYUCAUGAUUGGGGUGAAGUCGUAACAAGGUAGCCGUAGGUGAACCUGCAGAAGGAUCA